RNAcentral lists this ribosomal RNA (674 nucleotides) under uncultured Intrasporangiaceae bacterium. RNAcentral's name for it is "bacterial SSU rRNA". It matches the Rfam family "Bacterial small subunit ribosomal RNA", at positions 74 to 748 of the family's 1533-position model. The record is from RNAcentral. Lineage: Bacteria; Bacillati; Actinomycetota; Actinomycetes; Micrococcales; Intrasporangiaceae.
GGAAGCUUGCUUUUCUGGUUAGUGGCGACGGGUGAGUAACACGUGAGUAACCUGCCCUUCACUCUGGGAUAACUCCGGGAAACCGGGGCUAAUACUGGAUAUGACCUGCUCGGGCAUCCGAUGUGGGUGGAAAGAUUUAUUGGUGGGGGAUGGACUCGCGGCCUAUCAGCUUGUUGGUGAGGUAAUGGCUUACCAAGGCGACGACGGGUAGCCGGCCUGAGAGGGCGAUCGGCCACACUGGGACUGAGACACGGCCCAGACUCCUACGGGAGGCAGCAGUGGGGAAUAUUGCACAAUGGGCGAAAGCCUGAUGCAGCGACGCCGCGUGAGGGAUGAAGGCCUUCGGGUUGUAAACCUCUUUCAGCAGGGAAGAAGUGGCCGGGUUUUCUCGGUUGUGACGGUACCUGCAGAAGAAGCACCGGCUAACUACGUGCCAGCAGCCGCGGUAAUACGUAGGGUGCGAGCGUUGUCCGGAAUUAUUGGGCGUAAAGAGCUUGUAGGCGGUUUGUCGCGUCUGCUGUGAAAUUUCGGGGCUCAACCCCGAACUUGCAGUGGGUACGGGCAGACUAGAGUGUGGUAGGGGAGACUGGAAUUCCUGGUGUAGCGGUGAAAUGCGCAGAUAUCAGGAGGAACACCGAUGGCGAAGGCAGGUCUCUGGGCCACUACUGACGCUG